GAGACUCUGUGCGCGUGCAUAUCAAUAAGCGGAGGAAAAGAAACUAACUAGGAUUCCCUCAGUAACGGCGAGUGAAGCGGGAAGAGCUCAAAUUUGAAAUCUUCAAGGUUCUACCUUGACGAAUUGUAGUUUAAAGAAGUGUUUUCUGUUGGAGUUUUGGUAAAAGUUCUUUGGAAUAGGACAUCAUAGAGGGUGAGAAUCCCGUAUUUGACCAUUAUUUCCAACUUUGUGAUACACUUUCAAAGAGUCGGAUUGUUUGGGAAUGCAGUCCAAAAUGGGUGGUAAAUUUCAUCUAAAGCUAAAUACUGGCGAGAGACCGAUAGCGAACAAGUACCGUGAGGGAAAGAUGAAAAGAACUUUGAAAAGAGAGUUAAACAGUACGUGAAAUUGUCAAAAGGGAAGCGUUUGACACCAGUGUUGUUUUCUCGAAAAUCAAUUAAAAUGAUGGGAUUUUGUGUUGUAUUGACUUUAUCAGCUUUCUGCACUUUUUUCUUAUCUUUUUUAAUGCACUUUUCGUUUAACAAGUCAACAUCAAUUUCUUUCGUUGUAAAAGAGUCAUUGGAAGGUGGCUUUCUUCUUCGGAGAAAGUGUUUAUAGCCUUUGGCUUCUGCAAUCGGAGAGAUUGAGGUCUGCAGCGUAGAUCCUUCGGGGUUAGAUACAUUUGUGCUAAGCUAUAGUUCUUUAUAGACAACUUGUUGACUAUAAUCAAUCCUGUAACUUACUCGCUUAUGCUAUUUUACCUACGCUUAGGAUGUUGACAGCAGUAUAGACUGU
RNAcentral lists this ribosomal RNA (774 nucleotides) under uncultured Neocallimastigales. RNAcentral's name for it is "partial large subunit ribosomal RNA". The stretch from base 5 to 693 matches the Rfam family "Eukaryotic large subunit ribosomal RNA", at positions 24 to 664 of the family's 3401-position model. Lineage: Eukaryota; Fungi; Neocallimastigomycota; Neocallimastigomycetes; Neocallimastigales. The record is from RNAcentral.